UACGGAGGAUCCGAGCGUUAUCCGGAUUUAUUGGGUUUAAAGGGAGCGUAGAUGGAUGUUUAAGUCAGUUGUGAAAGUUUGCGGCUCAACCGUAAAAUUGCAGUUGAUACUGGAUAUCUUGAGUGCAGUUGAGGCAGGCGGAAUUCGUGGUGUAGCGGUGAAAUGCUUAGAUAUCACGAAGAACUCCGAUUGCGAAGGCAGCCUGCUAAGCUGCAACUGACAUUGAGGCUCGAAAGUGUGGGUAUCAAAC
Molecule: ribosomal RNA, 250 nt
Filed under: uncultured Bacteroides sp.
Lineage: Bacteria; Pseudomonadati; Bacteroidota; Bacteroidia; Bacteroidales; Bacteroidaceae
Description: partial 16S ribosomal RNA
Rfam family: Bacterial small subunit ribosomal RNA
Source: RNAcentral